AUUUAAUAUGGCAGAUUAGUGCAAUGGAUUUAAAUUCCUUAAAUAAAGAAACGAACUCUUUUAUUAAAA
This 69-nucleotide transfer RNA is filed under the name Solenopsis invicta (red fire ant). RNAcentral's name for it is "tRNA-Leu". It matches the Rfam family "tRNA". Rfam says of the family: Transfer RNA (tRNA) molecules are approximately 80 nucleotides in length. Their secondary structure includes four short double-helical elements and three loops (D, anti-codon, and T loops). Further hydrogen bonds mediate the characteristic L-shaped molecular structure. tRNAs have two regions of fundamental functional importance: the anti-codon, which is responsible for specific mRNA codon recognition, and the 3' end, to which the tRNAs corresponding amino acid is attached (by aminoacyl-tRNA synthetases). tRNAs cope with the degeneracy of the genetic code in two manners: having more than one tRNA (with a specific anti-codon) for a particular amino acid; and 'wobble' base-pairing, i.e. permitting non-standard base-pairing at the 3rd anti-codon position. The record is from RNAcentral. Lineage: Eukaryota; Metazoa; Arthropoda; Insecta; Hymenoptera; Formicidae.